CACAGGAUUAACUUCCGCGUCUCUGUGCGCGCGAGGCUGCCGCUACUUCCGCAUCACGUGAUUAGUCCCCUCUCUGGACUGUGCUUGCCUGAACAAAAUAACCAUGCGAGCUCUUCCCUACGAAUUAACUACACUUCUGUCAGACCUGGAGGCUUUCCUAUGUGAUGGCCUGAAAGGUGAAAUUCUGAGCAAGAAGGCUAAAGAUAAGAGAGAAGCCUUCAUUAAACGGAUUAAAGAGGUUAAAUUGGGAUUCCCACAUGAUUUCAAGGAUAAAAGCGGAGAUGACACAGGCGACGACGAGGACGAGGUGGACAGCAGCAACAACGAUGGAGGCUCCCUGCAGUCUGAGCGCACAGACAGGGAAGAAGAGACGUCUGAGGGAUGUCAUCAGUCUCCACCGGUGGCGGCGCAAGACCUGCAGUCUGUCCUUAUGUCAGGAUACCUUGAGAAACGCAGGAAGGAUCACAGUUUUUUCGGUCAGGAAUGGCAGAAGAGAUGGUGCGCCCUAAGCUAUCGUACCUUCUACUAUUAUGGCCACGAGAAAGACAAGCAGCAGAAAGGCGAGUUCAGCAUCGAUGGCUACAAUGUCAAAAUGAACAACGGCUUGCGCAAAGACUCCAAGAAAGACUUCUGUUUUGAAAUCUCAGCGCCGGACAAGCGAGACUAUCAGUUCUGUGCGUCAUCAGCCAAAGAGGCAAAAGAGUGGGUGAAAUGCAUAGACCUCAUUUUAAAAGACAUGUCUGGUAUCAUCCAAGAAGAGGAGGAGGAAGAAUAUGACGUGGAAAAGGAUGAGGAACAACUCAUGUAUGAUGAUGUUGGACUUGCACCUGAUACAGACAUCUAUGAGGUGCUCCCAGAUGCAAACACAGACUACCAGAACUACUACCAAGGCUUAUGGGACUGUGUAGGCGACCACCCGGAUGAAUUGUCCUUCAAGCGCGGGGACACCAUUUAUAUACUGAGCAAGGCAUACCAGAACUAUGGUUGGUGGGUCGGAGAGACGAAUGGAAAUAUCGGAAUCGUGCCCAAAGACUACCUGCUGGAGCUCUACGCUUUAUAAAUGCAUUCUAUAAUGGUGGCAUGAUGAAUGGGCUCUGGCGAAGACAAGCUGAGCUGGCCACUGGAUCUACUGCAGACCGUGAGCCGCUUUUCUGAUUUACGCACGUUGGCAGCCGAGCGCCGAGGCCUCCAGAGACGGUGCCCUCUCACACCUCCGUUCUGCGCUCGCCUUUCUGCAGCUUCGCCCGUCCUCUCGUUGUCUCAACAUUUACUGAAGUGGGUCCGACCCCAAAGAGCUCCACCUCUAUCCUCGUUCCUCAUCUCUAACAAGACAUUAGCCGAGAGGGGGUGUUAUUCACAGCGAGAGGGGAUGUUCCCCAGUGUCAAGACACAAAUAAGGAUGAAUAGAAGCCGUCACAGACACUGAUGCUAUUUUACAAUGCUCAUGUUUCAUAGCACGGCUUCAAGUGCUGUUUGUACCGUUUUAUUGCACUGCCAACGCUGAGAGAUGAGCAUUCACGCUAAUGCUAUUCUUCUCUUUGUCUAUUCUUAUACCCAAUAAAUGACAGGAAUAGAAAUUAGUUUAGACCUUGAGCAAUGACUUAAGAUGGCUUUUAUUUCAUCCAAAGGAAGCCUAAUAAAAGAAAAAGUGUUUUGCAAUCACUCAGAAUGCAAAUGGUAUGGCCCGUCUCCAUGAACCAGGAAGUAGCUUGUGAACUAACAUGGAUAAAUAUUUUUGUUAUAAAAUUAUGUUAUAUUUUCUUGUUAUUUGAG
This is an RNA transcript of Doryrhamphus excisus (bluestripe pipefish), 1773 nucleotides long. It is a transcript of the gene named src kinase associated phosphoprotein 2, with no coding region annotated. The record is from RefSeq and is a predicted model, not a curated record. Lineage: Eukaryota; Metazoa; Chordata; Actinopteri; Syngnathiformes; Syngnathidae.